UCUGCACACAGUGACAGUUUUCCCUCUUCUCUUCCUAUUUGGAUGCCUUUUAUUUCUUUGGUUUGUCUGAUUGCUGUGGCCUGGACUUCCAGUACUAUGUUGAAUAACAGUGGUGGGAGUGGGCAUCCUUGUCUUGUUCCAGAUUUUAGUGGAAAAGCUUUCAGCUUUUCUCCAUUGAGUGUUAUAUAUGCUGUGGGUUUGUCAUAAAUGGCUUUGAUUAUGUUAUGGUAUGUUCCCUCUAUACCCACUCUGGUAAGAGUUUUUAUCAUGAAUGGAUGUUGGACUUUGUCAAAUGUUUUCUCUGCAUCUAUUGAGACAAUCGUGUGGUUUUUGACUUUUGUUAAUGUGGUAUGUGACGUUGAUUUACGUAUGUUGAACCAUCCUUGUGCACCUGGGAUGAAUCCCACCUGGUCGUGGUGUAUGAUAUUUUUUAUAUGUGUUACAUUCAGAUGGCUAAAAUUUUGUUGAUAAUUUUUGCGUCUAUAUUCAUCAGAGAUAUUGGCCUAUAGUUUUCUUUUUUGGUGGUAUCUUUGUCUGACUCUUAAACAGGGAACCAAGACCCUGUGAAUUUAUGUCACAUAUAACUGAGAGGCAGUUUAGCUGGAAGGGCCAUGGCUGAGAAGUGGAGAGGGGAAAACUUGGGAGUCCCCCAUCUUUAACUGCUCUGGUUCUGAUGCUGAGUGGGUUUUGGAGUUUGCCUCUCAUCCAGCAAUGUUGUGAUCAUUUUGGAGCAAAACCAGGUAGAUAGUUCUAUGCCAGGGCAGAAGCAGUGGCAGCUUUCCUUGAGUCUGGGUGUUGGCAGCAGGAGAAUUUUAUCACACACCCCAGAAAUAUGUAUAUUACAACCCCAGCUCAUUUCCCUUGUUUUGAGAUUAAAUUCACCACCGCCAUCACCACCACCACUUUUCAUUCAUAUUCGUCGGACAGAUAUCUAACAAAUCCCCAUUGGUGUGGCUAGCCUUAGGCUGCAUGGUCUGGCAAAUAUAUCGCCUUGUGUAUGUGUGUUGGGAAUGAGGAGGUCUGAGGGCCGAACAGAUGAAGAUUGGGGAAGGGUCAGGGUUGAAGAAGCAAAGGAAGUAUCUUAGGGCAUUCUAGCUGGUACAGGCGAGAAAAGGAACCUGGCCAGCAAAUGGCACCAGCAGCAAGUCACAUCAUGCUCUUAAUGAGGGGAGUGCAGCACCCACCGGGGGUCUGGAGAAGGGAAAGAGCCCUGUUGCUCAGAAAUGAGUAAAGUGGUCUGGUAGUGUCUAGGUUGGGCCUUGAAGGUGGAGAUGGGGGUGGGAAGGAAUGGGAGCAGCCCUGAUGGUGAAGGGAAUGUUGGCUGCUGAAUGCACCACCCAGCUACCCCCUUGUGGGACUAAAGCCCCAGUUCCCCAGCCAUGGCAAUGUUGAUGCGUGACAGCUGAGUCUCACUCUCCACCCCAUGAUUACUCUCCGCUGAGGAGAGAUGCCUUGUUGAGUGCUUGUUUCAGGGAGCAGCCCACAUCCAACUGCUGGUUGAUGCAGAGUUUAAAAAGCCUGGUGCCUCUGUCCUCAUUUGGGACAACUCUGCAGGGCCAUUCCAGUUCCCUGAUCUCCAGACUGUCUGAGGUCUUUGUAGUGGCAUCACAGCCUUCUAGUUGGUACUGCUUGCUUUGCCCCCUCACAGGUGUCGAUCUUGACAACAUCUGCAGUUUGGGUAUGUACAUGGUCAGGAUGCACCUUCUCAGGUGGAUGCUCUGCCAUUGCUGUCUCCCAGGAGGUGUACAUGGUGCUGUCUUGGCUAAGAUGUUGGUAGGACUGUUUCUUCUGAAGGAUCUAGGGGAGAACACCCCUUUGCUUUUUUUUUUUUGUUCUGCAUUUCCUAGAUUCUAGAGGCCACUUGGAUUUCUUGGCUUUUGGCCCAAUCCUCUCUCAUCAGGGCCAUUGAGGUUGGGCUAAGUCCUUACACUGCCAUCUCUCUGGUUCUUAUCUGAUCUCCUGUCUCUCUCCUCUGUUGAUAAGGAACCAUGGGAUUACAUUAGUCUCUCCCAAAUAAUUCAGGAUAAUUGCCCUAUUUUAAGGUCAGCUGGUAAACCAUCUUAAUUACCAUCUGUAAACUUAAUUACCGUUUGCCCUGUAACCUAACACAGAUUUGGGGAUUAGGAUUUGGAUGUCUUUGAGGUGAACAUUGUUCUGCCUACCCAAGGGGGCCUGUGUUCUUUUAGUUUUCACUACACAGGGAAAGGGAAAAGCAGGGAUUUAAGCCCCUGGAGCUGUUAUUCCAGCUUUAGCCAUUAGGACUUGACAUUGGCAAAGCUAUGUACUGUGUUUUGUUUAUUAGAUUUUCCAAAGUUUCAAACAACACCUGUUGGCUGAGAGUUCCAAAAUCCUGAUCUUCAAAACAGGCUUUCUUCCUGAGUUUCAUCCCCUUGAUUCUGUUCCCUACUGGAUACCUCUUCUUGAAUGUCCCAAGUCACUUUUAUGUGCUGGAAGUGUAAAUGGUAUUGAAGUUUUCUCUUCAUGACCCCCUGCAGAACUCAAGUUCUUGUGGAACUGCUUUUCUUCUUAAAGAUUCUGGAGCCCACCUCUUUUCUCCUUAUUCACUCACCCCACUGUUGACCAUCUUUUCUUGGUUUGCAUUAUUAACUAUAGCCUCUCACUAGUCCUGCCUCUGUCAAAUACUCAUUCCUUCCACCAAACUGUUGCAGGCACUGCCAGAUCAAUUGUAUAUAAAUACAGAGCUCUAAUUGUAAAUUUUAAAUAUUCAGUGUUUCCCUGCUUUACAUAAAAUCAGUCUAACUCAGCAACCCAUACCAGUGUCAUCUGUCUUCAAACUUUUUUCAUGUUUAUUUUCCACCACUCUCUUUAGUUCCAUCCAGGUGAUGCUAUCAUACUUUGUCAUCUCUCUGUAACUACUCACAUAUAUGUCUGCCUUCCUUCGUAGAUGAGGAGCAACUCAUCUCAAUAUCCUCCUUAUGUAGAGUGCUCCACGGAUGCUUAGCAAAUAUUCAGUAAAACUAAAUUUUCCCUUUUGCUUGCAUUUUAUCCAUCCUCCUGAAGCAACUCAUAGUAUAGCAGCAGCAGUGAUUACCAAGCAGGUGACAAGACCCAACUGCUGUUUCCAGCCAGAGCCUCUAAGCUACUUGGCCAUCUCCAGCCGUAUCAGAUUUCUGACCCUUUGUUGUUCUGCGCACUGGCCUCAAUAUGACCAUUAUUCCAACUAAGGUCAAGUCAGAGCCUUCUAGUUUUCAGAAGCAACUGCUCAGAAAGGAGUCUCAUUCGAGUAUCUCUUCCAGCCACUGCUAGAGUUUACCCUUUUGAAAAUUUCUAUUUUUAAAAUUUUGUUUUGUUUAUUGUUACAGAUGUAUUUAUUUGUUACCACAUUAUCUACUACUCUGUGUUGCAAUGAGUUAUCCCUUAAUGCAGAACUUGUUGUCUGGCUACUAGAACAACUUUCAGCUUCUGACUCUUUUAGGCUUUUACUUUUAAAGUUAGAAUAUAGUUGCUUAUAAUGUUAGUUUCAGGUGUACUGCAAAGUGAAUUCAGUUAUACAUACGCAUAUCCAUUCUUUUUUCAUAUUCUUUUGGCAUAUAGGUGGUUACACAGUAUUGAGUAGAUUUCCCUCUGCUACACAGUAGGUCCUUGUUACUUAUCUAUUUUAUAUAGAGUAGUGUAUUGUAUGUUGAUUCCAACCUCCCACUUUAUCCCUCCCCACGAGAAAUUGCUUUUACUAAUACUCUGCUGUUCUGAUUUGUAAGAAAAAUAAUUUUUUGUGUGUGUGUUUAAUCUUACAUAUAUAAGUAAAAAAAUUUUCUGACCCAGCUUCCUCGGUAUCAUGUGAAUAAACUUUGGUCAGUGGCCAAAGUCAGGUGGAUCCAGGGCUUGGUGAGGAUGAAAGUGCCUGAACUCAGUUCACCUUCUAAAUCACACCAUCUCCUACUUAUGUGUAGUUACAGUAACAAUUUUAAGAUGGCAUGACGGCUUAUUAUUUCUGAAAUUGUUUUCUUAUUUUUAUUUUUUGGUUUUUUUUUUUUUUUUUUUUUUUUUUUUUNNNNNNNNNNNNNNNNNNNNNNNNNNNNNNNNNNNNNNNNNNNNCGCAGAAUCCUUAACCCACUGAGUGAGGGAUCAAACCCUCAACCUCAUGGUUCCUAGUCAGAUUCGUUUCUGCUGCGCCACAAUGGGAACUCCAGAAACUGUUUUCUUAUUGAAUUAACUCAUUUGGCCUCAUCUUUGUAGGGGUCAUAAGCAGCUGUAAGUAAUAUUAACUAUUCUCUGAGAAUGCCACAAUGUGGAAACUUUGUGAUAAUUAGUUUCCAUUUCUUUCUAUUACAAUUAAAAAAAAAAUCUCAUGUCUUCUGUCUCACAUGUACUUUAUAGAUGCUCUUUGAGCUAAUUAUGGUUACAAAAUGUGCCUUAACAUUUGCAUUACUUGUGACCCAUCUUCAAAUAUAUUGUGCUUUUGCAGAUUUUUGUGUGGUCUUAAAAUGGUUCUGUGAAUAUGCAGAUUGUGGCAUAUGUGCACUUAAAUUUAUGUGACAACCUCUGACCACAGAGAUUUAUAAAUAAAUGCAACAGAAAUAGCAUAUUGAGUGGAGGGGCAAGUGGUGAGGAAGGACAGGUGUCCCUUUUCUUCCCAAGCAGAGCGGGUAUAUGUUUCAAUUAUGCUCUUAUAUUCUCUGGGCUCGUGGUCAAGGCAGAGACUGUGUCUGAGAAAAGAUCAAUGGCAGAGCAGUGAAGGUUAGAGCAGGAGAGAAUGACAUCUCCAAGACAAAGUGCUGAAAGCCAGCAUAGUGCGUGUCUGCCACCACCCAGCAUCACUCAUGUGCCGCUUUUAGUCCACACCAACAAACAGCAUAGAAAAGGUCAUUAAAACAAAACAACCACACUAAACAGCCAACAACUCUCCCACCAGGAAGUCUUGGACAGAAACACUGGCUGUAAAUCUUAGACUUUGAAGAGCAAGAGGCAGAGUUUGCAGCUCUCCUUGCUGCCCCACAUUUCUCUUCUCUCUGAAAAAUAUUGGGCCUAACUGUUGUUUUACAAUGUGCUCCGGGUUACAUAGCAUUCUGGGCACUCUGCCUCCACCCUGCGCUCCAUUAAAGAACCUGUGUCAUGGUUUGUUGUGUGCUGGACAAGAGCAAAGUUUCACAUUGGUAGCAGCAUACUAGAUCUCUGGAAAAAAAAAAAAAA
This 5151-nucleotide long non-coding RNA is filed under the name Sus scrofa (pig). Its description in RNAcentral is "lncRNA (ENSSSCG00065042926.1)". The record is from RNAcentral. Lineage: Eukaryota; Metazoa; Chordata; Mammalia; Artiodactyla; Suidae.